This is a long non-coding RNA of Cyprinus carpio (common carp), 666 nucleotides long. RefSeq lists it as uncharacterized. The transcript has 2 exons. The record is from RefSeq and is a predicted model, not a curated record. Lineage: Eukaryota; Metazoa; Chordata; Actinopteri; Cypriniformes; Cyprinidae.
UGCAUAUAAUUGUUUUUACAUAACAGUUAAAGCCUAUUGUACAAAUAAUAUGUUAUACUUUACAGGUGACAGCGGUUACCCACUCAGGCGCUGGCUACUCACCCUAUUCUCAAACCCUCAGAGCGCAGAAGAAGUGCGCUUUAAUGAUACCCAUGCUCGUGCGCGCUCAGUAGUUGAGAGAGCCAUUGGCCUCCUCAAGUGUAGAUGGCGUUGCCUUGAUGCUUCGGGUGGUAGACUUUUAUAUCAACCAAAAAAAGUAUGCCAGAUCAUCAUGGUGUGCGCUAUUUUACACAACAUUGCACUGAUGAAUGGUAUCCCUGUUCCCCCCGACCUACCACAACACCAGCAUGAAGAGCCUGACCCACACCCCCCUCACCAACAAGAAGGACAUCAUCAGGGAGCAAGGCUCCGUCAGGAAGUAAUGCGCCAUUUGUGAAGAACAACAGUGCAAAGAACAGCCUCAGUCAGCACCCGGCCACUUCCAGCCGUAAGGUCGGGACGCACUUGUGCUGGGGACCUCGGGAAACUCCAUAGCCCCUGCAGACUCUGCGCUGGGAGUUGCGUCACACUGGUCUCCCGCAGACUCUGCAAGAAUAAGGACUAAACCAUUUGUAUAAUUUAUUUUGUUUAAUUGAGCACACAAGCAAUAAAGUUAUUUACCUGGUU